UUGCAUUGUUACUGAACCCUUUUGGUCUCUUUUGUGACAUCAAGGGUCAAGGUACAAUGCUAAAGCAUAAGCAGGCCUGCUCAUAACUGGGGCCUCCUGGUUUAUGUCCCAGGUCGCUCUUUUAAAAGCAAGCCACAGCU
Molecule: small nucleolar RNA, 140 nt
Organism: Hippocampus comes (tiger tail seahorse)
Lineage: Eukaryota; Metazoa; Chordata; Actinopteri; Syngnathiformes; Syngnathidae
Source: Ensembl